RNAcentral lists this long non-coding RNA (2507 nucleotides) under Ficedula albicollis (Collared flycatcher). RNAcentral describes it as "lncRNA (ENSFALG00000027603.1)". Lineage: Eukaryota; Metazoa; Chordata; Aves; Passeriformes; Muscicapidae. The record is from RNAcentral.
CUGAUAUUUAUCUUGUGUGGAAAGGGCUGCCUGAGAGGGCUGCAGUGUGGUUUGUUUGGAGGUUUGCUGGGGUGGUUUUGCUUAGAUUUUCCUCCUAAAAUAUCCAAAGUUCUACUACUACAGCAUUAGCUGUGCUUGCCAUGUUUUGUGCUCUUGUGAGGAUGGUUUUGUGUCUGACUCAGAUCUUCUGUUCUUUAAAUGCCACGUUGUGAUUUGAUAGUAUAGGAGUCAAAUAAAACACUCAGUAAGAAUCAUAAGUCAUUUUUAUAAAUUGCUGUUUGCUGUUUCCAUAGAGGUGCUUCUUUUUUACCAGAAAUACUUUGAAAUUAAAAAAAAAAAAAAAAAAAAACCCUAAAAAAAAAAAAAAAAAAAAAGAGUAAAUCAGAUCCAUAGGGAUCCCAGGUGGUGUUAGGGUUUGCUUGCAGCCUCUCCUCAGCUCCUGGUUUGUAUUUUUCCACAGUGCUUUGUCACUGGUUUUCAUGCCAGCUCUGAACUGGUUUCAGUUCUAGAGUGUCUCCUUUUGCCAUGUCCUUUCCUUCUUUUCAUAUCUCAGCAUAAAUAUCCACUCAGGUGCAAUAUGUGGAGCACAGUGAGCAGCUUUGUCCACCCCAGAGCUGAUCAAGUAAAUUGGAAUUUUGAUUUGGAGCAUAUUCCAAUGCCCAGAGCCAGCCAAGCUCUUCCACCAGCACAGAGAGCUGGAGGAAGGCAGCAGUGCCUGAAUGCACAACAGAGGAUGGAAAUCUGCUUUUUCUGUUCUAAAGAAUUAUCAGGUGUCUUGUGUCACAGUGGUGGCACUGACAGUGUCCUGUUCCCUGGGAGGUGUGUUGCAUCACAGUCAGUGGUGGCACUGACAAUGUCCUGUUCCCUUGGGGGAUAUAUUGCUGUAGGUGCUGUGCUGGGUGCUCUCAGUGUGCAGGAGGAUUUAAUUUUUAGUAGCAUUGUUUUUUCUGGCCAGAAAACCCCUCAGCCUUCAUGGGACAGGCUUAAGGGUGAGGUGGCCAAGGCACCCACCCUGUCCCAUUUCCUGUUCACAGAGGCAGGAACAACCUGAAUACCCCUGGUCUAACAGUUCCAACUUUAUCACAGCCUUUAAUCUCUUGGGAUAAGAAUGAAAUAAUGUUUCUAAUGGUUACUCCCCUGUGCUGCUGCUUUAUAAACAUCUCCUGUCCGUGCAUGAUUUCUUGGCAAUAUUUUAACCCCCCAUUCCCUCUGUGGUUGGUGGAUUCCCUGUAGAAUGUUUCUCUCUUCCUUGGAAAAACCAUGUGUUCUGACAAACCAUCAGUUAGUCUGUGAUAUACAGCUCAUGAGAUGCCAGGAUAAAAUUUUAUAUUCUGGGACAAUUAGUGGUGAGCUCAUCAGGUCCUGACAAAACAAGCCCCAGCAUCACAUUUGGGGCAUGGAUGUUUCAAUUUUUUACCAAUAACUGGAAAAAUGUAACCAAGGAUAAAACACCAGUGGCUGUGAGACCUCACAGCAGCUCCUGGCAGCGAGGGCUCCAUCCUGAAAAUUGUGAUAAAGCUCAGGAGCAAAGCUGCCACACUCCAGAGGUGACAAAUCCCACAGAAAUCAGUGUCCAAGGGACACCAUGCUAAGAAAAGAGCUGCCAGCAACCAAGCUCAUGUUGUGUAAGCAAACAUUACUUGAACUAAAAUGUGCCACUGAAGUGUCUGUUGGAACAAGAAGAGUGGGCAAAACUACUUCAAAGUAUUUAUUUCCAAAGUUUCUGACAAGUAAGAGAAGUAGCUUGACCCCCACUGUGGUGCUUGUUGUGGUGAAAAUCUUCUCAAGAUGUUUUUGCACGCUGUAAAUCAGAAUGUUGGAGCUCUGCACUUGUUAUUGAUCUCCUAUUGGGAAAUGAACAGGGUAUUGACAGAUGGAAAACCAGACAAAUGGGUUAGACUUUGCCUCCCUCCAUUUUUCCAUGCUAAUUACAGCUCUCUGUUGAUUUUUGCUUGCUCUGCCCCAAGGAGUAGAGUGGUAGUAAGUGCAGUACAUUGCUGAGUAGCUCCUGGAAUGGAUUCAUUUCAGGAAUGCAUUAAGUGAUAUUUCCCUUUAAUAGAUCAAUGUAAACAUGCAGGAUGAGUGGGAGUCUGGGAGGAAAGGAGUCAGGCUCUGGAAUAUUUCCCAUUACACAUUCAAAAUUCAUACAGUGGUGGUGGAGAUGUAGAAGUUGUUUUGAGAACUUGGCUUAGGCCUUCAGACUUGCACACUUACACACUGGAUGUCCUUUGUGCUGAUGCUGAGGAUGUUCUGUCUGUUGGAAUAUUUAAUAACCUUGCUAAUUGUUUAGCUUGCCUACUCUGUACUGAUAUAUCACGUAGGAAUCUUUCCUUUUUGUUGGCUUUCUUAGAAUCCCAGAUUGGUGUGGGUUGAAAGGAGCCUUAAAGCCCAUCCAGUUCCACCUUCCACUAUCCCAGAGCCCCAUCCAGCCCGGCCCUGGACACUUCCAGAGACAGGCACAGCUUCUCUCAGCAGCCUCUGUGCUUGCAUAUAACACACAAACCCAU